CGAACCGACUAAUGUUGAAAAAUUAGCGGAUGACUUGUGGCUGGGGGUGAAAGGCCAAUCAAACCGGGAGAUAGCUGGUUCUCCCCGAAAGCUAUUUAGGUAGCGCCUCGUGAAUUCAUCUCCGGGGGUAGAGCACUGUUUCGGCAAGGGGGUCAUCCCGACUUACCAACCCGAUGCAAACUGCGAAUACCGGAGAAUGUUAUCACGGGAGACACACGGCGGGUGCUAACGUCCGUCGUGAAGAGGGAAACAACCCAGACCGCCAGCUAAGGUCCCAAAGUCAUGGUUAAGUGGGAAACGAUGUGGGAAGGCCCAGACAGCCAGGAUGUUGGCUUAGAAGCAGCCAUCAUUUAAAGAAAGCGUAAUAGCUCACUGGUCGAGUCGGCCUGCGCGGAAGAUGUAACGGGG
RNAcentral lists this ribosomal RNA (408 nucleotides) under Escherichia coli. Its description in RNAcentral is "partial 23S ribosomal RNA". It matches the Rfam family "Bacterial large subunit ribosomal RNA", at positions 775 to 1180 of the family's 2925-position model. Lineage: Bacteria; Pseudomonadati; Pseudomonadota; Gammaproteobacteria; Enterobacterales; Enterobacteriaceae. The record is from RNAcentral.